Long non-coding RNA from Aquila chrysaetos chrysaetos, 140 nucleotides. RefSeq lists it as uncharacterized. The transcript has 3 exons. The record is from RefSeq and is a predicted model, not a curated record. NCBI's taxonomy places the organism in Eukaryota, Metazoa, Chordata, Aves, Accipitriformes, Accipitridae.
GGAACAGGCUGCCCAGGGAAGUGGUGGAGUCACCAUCCCUGGAGGUGUUCAAAAAACAUGCAGGCGUGGCACUUCAGGACAUGGUUUAGUGGGCAGGGUAGUGCUGGGUUGAUGGUUGGAAUCGAUGAACCUGGAAGUCU